GUGUAAUCAGAGCCAGGCCAAGAGCCCUCUGUAAGCUCUUCCGAUCACAGUGUUGUGAUUAGUCACACUUCCUGCUUGAAAACAGGCAGAUAGUAGAAAGGGAAAUCCUACUGUGAGGUUUGGAUAGGAUUGCAAAUGGGUCUUUUCUGCAAAUAAGGUUGAAAGAGGGAGGAGGAGGGAAGAAAUUUCUCUCGGGCUAGUGCUUGUUGAGCCUUAGAGAAAAGGGUACCCCGAGGUCCUGGGACCUCCAUUCCCUGCAUCUUCAUUAUGUGGUGGACUUGGCUGUUCAAGUGACUUUGACCAGCACUCAGAUUUGGUGGACCGUUGGGAUGUGGAUUGCUCAACUGAAUACUCUUAUAAACAUGCUGUUGGGGGAUUCACCCCAGGCGAUCAUCAGAUCAUGACAGUGUGCACAGUUGAUGGACACGUGAGGGAUGUGGCAGUCGAGCUUGGAGCAGAGAAGCUCCCUGCUUUGCAGCGUUAUUGUCAGCUCUUGAAGGUUCCUCGUUGCUUAGAAUUGAUGGAUCUGGAAGAAGAUUCUUGGAAAUUAUGCCAAAGCAGAAAUGAAAAAUGAAGAUGCAGUGAAAAUCUUGGAGGUGGGACCAGAGGAAUCUUUGAAGCUAUGGCACAGAGAGAACGAAGCAGAUGGGGACUCUGAAGGGAGGGUUGUCCUCCUGAGGGACUGGGUGGAAUGCUGGAAUAUGAUUUCAGGUGGGAAUAACCUGAGAGUGGCUGAAGAGGAGGAACCGUCCAGGAAUGAGACCGUCUUUACGAGGUCCGUUUGCAGUGGAAGCGUGAAUACCUGGGCGUGAGUCUCCUCAUUCUCUCACAGGCUGGUUCCUUCUCCACCAAAGGUGAAAGGUAGGUGAUGCUCAGAGUGGGUGUUCUCUGCCAGCUGGGGCAGCAAGUUAGUCCUGGCCGCUAUUUGGAAAUCGUUUCUGGAGUGACACCUCAGUGGCUUUUGUCUCAAUGCCUUUUGUCUGUGAGAACAAUGCUCUACUAUUAAAGACUGGGGAUGACACCAGUGGAGGUGAGACACAAGCCCGAUCUUGAUGAUCAUCAAAUCCAGCAAACUAGGACACUGACCCACAGUUUACCCCUUCGUAUGAAAAUAAGAGAGAGCCAGAAUUCCCAGUGAAAGAACUCUCAGAUUAUAUGCUUUAGAAUUCAAAUUCAAUUUCUUUUUCUUUAGGACAAUUUGAUACCUUAAUUCUAUAUUUAUAUAAAAAGACAUAUGAAGCAAGCAAUGGUUAUUCAGCAGAGGAUAUGUUUAAAUAGAGUAUCAGGUUCUCUCGGUGCGUUCAGGGAGAUUGGGAUUGACACAUACACACUACUAUAUAUAAAAUAGAUAACCAAUAAGGACCUACUGUGAAGCACAGGGAACUCUACUCAAUAUUCUGUAAUGACCUAUAUGGGAAAAGAAUCUAAAAGAGAGUAGAUAUCUGUAUAUGUAUAACUGAAUCACUUUGUUGUACACCCGAAACUAACACAACAUUGUAAAUCAACUAUACUCCAAUAAAAUUUUUUCUAAAAACUUAUCUUGGUGCAUAUAAAUAUGAUGUACUCCACAAAGAUGAAGUUAACAUACAACGUUUUAGGUCACAUCUCUGUGAACAGCAAGGUGCACUUGCUGUGUGAGGACACCAGACAGUGGCAACCUGUCCAUCUGCUGACAUGGAGAAGAGGAGCUAAUAGGUAUUUUUCAGCUGAACC
Molecule: long non-coding RNA, 1713 nt
Organism: Orcinus orca (killer whale)
Lineage: Eukaryota; Metazoa; Chordata; Mammalia; Artiodactyla; Delphinidae
Exons: 3
Source: RefSeq, a predicted model, not a curated record